Molecule: long non-coding RNA, 871 nt
Organism: Orcinus orca (killer whale)
Lineage: Eukaryota; Metazoa; Chordata; Mammalia; Artiodactyla; Delphinidae
Exons: 3
Source: RefSeq, a predicted model, not a curated record
ACUUAGACACCUUGGACUACAAAAGAGAUAUCACAGGGCAGGGGACUUGGGAGCCACUUUGUAACUUUCUGAGACUCAGUUUCCUUACCUGCAAAACAGGGACCAUGAAACCUGCCUCACAGACUGCAGUCAUGUGCAGAGCCUGGGAGAGGUGCCUAUCAAGCCUUUGUUGGAUAAAAGAAGGAAGAUCCCACAUGCCGCAGAGCAACUAAGCCCAUGUGCCACAACUACUGAGCCUGCGCUCUAGAGCCCGUGAGCCACAACUACUGAGCCUGCGUGCCACAACUACCGAAGCCCACGUGCCUAGAGCCUGUGCUCCGCAACAAGAGAAGCCACCACAAUGAGAAGCCUGCACACCGCAACGAAGACUCAAUGCAGCCAAAAAUAAAUAAAUAAAAUAAAUAAAUUAAAAAAAAAAAAUUUUGGCUCAGGGAGGCCCCCUUGGGGCAGGGAUUGCCUCAGUCAGCUCCUUUGGGGAGGUCCCCUAAUUGGACCCCUGAGCCCUAGUAAUGAUGCAAACUCACCAGGCAGAGGAUAACAGGCAGGGAGGGAGGGGAAAGGGGGAAGGAAACAGGUUGGCAAAAAAAUAAUAACAACCCCCCUCCCAUUGUGAGGGGAGGGACUCGAGAGUCCCCAGAUUGUCACUUAGUUGCUGUGUAACUUUGGAUGGGUUGCUUGACCUCUCUGAGCCUCCAAUUCCUCAUUGACAAGUGGAGAUAAUAGAAACUCCAGCCCCAGAGUGUUGCUGUGAGAAGAUAUUCAAGGAAAGUACCUAGCACAAUGCCUGGCUCAGAAGUAGGGACUCAGAAAAUUGGGACAAUUAUCAUCAUGUUAUUAAACCUGUAUUACUACCAAUGACUGUUCAUACCCA